CCCCUUGUGGUGUAGUUGGAUAUCACAUUCGACUGUAAUUGUUAAUUGUUAUCGAAAGGUCACCGGCUCGAUUCCGGUCGAGGGGA
This 86-nucleotide transfer RNA is filed under the name Coniochaeta sp. 2T2.1. It matches the Rfam family "tRNA". From Rfam's summary of the family: Transfer RNA (tRNA) molecules are approximately 80 nucleotides in length. The record is from Rfam by way of RNAcentral. Lineage: Eukaryota; Fungi; Ascomycota; Sordariomycetes; Coniochaetales; Coniochaetaceae.